RNAcentral lists this ribosomal RNA (1369 nucleotides) under uncultured bacterium. RNAcentral describes it as "16S ribosomal RNA". It matches the Rfam family "Bacterial small subunit ribosomal RNA", at positions 28 to 1378 of the family's 1533-position model. The record is from RNAcentral.
GAUGAACGCUGGCGGCGUGCCUAAUACAUGCAAGUCGAGCGAACGGACGAGAAGCUUGCUUCUCUGAUGUUAGCGGCGGACGGGUGAGUAACACGUGGAUAACCUACCUAUAAGACUGGGAUAACUUCGGGAAACCGUAGCUAAUACCGGAUAAUAUUUUGAACCGCAUGGUUCAAAAGUGAAAGACGGUCUUGCUGUCACUUAUAGAUGGAUCCGCGCUGCAUUAGCUAGUUGGUAAGGUAACGGCUUACCAAGGCAACGAUGCAUAGCCGACCUGAGAGGGUGAUCGGCCACACUGGAACUGAGACACGGUCCAGACUCCUACGGGAGGCAGCAGUAGGGAAUCUUCCGCAAUGGGCGAAAGCCUGACGGAGCAACGCCGCGUGAGUGAUGAAGGUCUUCGGAUCGUAAAACUCUGUUAUUAGGGAAGAACAUAUGUGUAAGUAACUGUGCACAUCUUGACGGUACCUAAUCAGAAAGCCACGGCUAACUACGUGCCAGCAGCCGCGGUAAUACGUAGGUGGCAAGCGUUAUCCGGAAUUAUUGGGCGUAAAGCGCGCGUAGGCGGUUUUUUAAGUCUGAUGUGAAAGCCCACGGCUCAACCGUGGAGGGUCAUUGGAAACUGGAAAACUUGAGUGCAGAAGAGGAAAGUGGAAUUCCAUGUGUAGCGGUGAAAUGCGCAGAGAUAUGGAGGAACACCAGUGGCGAAGGCGACUUUCUGGUCUGUAACUGACGCUGAUGUGCGAAAGCGUGGGGAUCAAACAGGAUUAGAUACCCUGGUAGUCCACGCCGUAAACGAUGAGUGCUAAGUGUUAGGGGGUUUCCGCCCCUUAGUGCUGCAGCUAACGCAUUAAGCACUCCGCCUGGGGAGUACGACCGCAAGGUUGAAACUCAAAGGAAUUGACGGGGACCCGCACAAGCGGUGGAGCAUGUGGUUUAAUUCGAAGCAACGCGAAGAACCUUACCAAAUCUUGACAUCCUUUGACAACUCUAGAGAUAGAGCCUUCCCCUUCGGGGGACAAAGUGACAGGUGGUGCAUGGUUGUCGUCAGCUCGUGUCGUGAGAUGUUGGGUUAAGUCCCGCAACGAGCGCAACCCUUAAGCUUAGUUGCCAUCAUUAAGUUGGGCACUCUAAGUUGACUGCCGGUGACAAACCGGAGGAAGGUGGGGAUGACGUCAAAUCAUCAUGCCCCUUAUGAUUUGGGCUACACACGUGCUACAAUGGACAAUACAAAGGGCAGCGAAACCGCGAGGUCAAGCAAAUCCCAUAAAGUUGUUCUCAGUUCGGAUUGUAGUCUGCAACUCGACUACACGAAGCUGGAAUCGCUAGUAAUCGUAGAUCAGCAUGCUACGGUGAAUACGUUCCCGGG